GAUGAACGCUGGCGGCGUGCCUAAUACAUGCGAGUCGAGCGAACGGACGAGAAGCUUGCUUCUCUGAUGUUAGCGGCGGACGGGUGAGUAACACGUGGAUAACCUACCUAUAAGACUGGGAUAACUUCGGGAAACCGUAGCUAAUACCGGAUAAUAUUUUGAACCGCAUGGUUCAAAAGUGAAAGACGGUCUUGCUGUCACUUAUAGAUGGAUCCGCGCUGCAUUAGCUAGUUGGUAAGGUAACGGCUUACCAAGGCAACGAUGCAUAGCCGACCUGAGAGGGUGAUCGGCCACACUGGAACUGAGACGCGGUCCAGACUCCUACGGGAGGCAGCAGUAGGGAAUCUUCCGCAAUGGGCGAAAGCCUGACGGAGCAACGCCGCGUGAGUGAUGAAGGUCUUCGGAUCGUAAAACUCUGUUAUUAGGGAAGAACAUAUGUGUAAGUAACUGUGCACAUCUUGACGGUACCUAAUCAGAAAGCCACGGCUAACUACGUG
Molecule: ribosomal RNA, 497 nt
Filed under: uncultured bacterium
Lineage: Bacteria
Description: partial 16S ribosomal RNA
Rfam family: Bacterial small subunit ribosomal RNA
Source: RNAcentral